GAUGAACGCUGGCGGCGUGCCUAAUACAUGCAAGUCGAGCGAACGGACGAGAAUCUUUCUUCUCUGAUGUUACCGGCGGACGGGUGAUUAACACGUGGAUAACCUACCUAUAAGACUGGGAUAACUUCGGGAACCCUUAGCUAAUACCGGAUCAUAUUUUGAACCGCAUGGUUCAACAGUCAUCGACCUUCUUGCUGUCACUUAUAGAUGUAUCCUCGCUGCAUUAGCUAGUUGGUAAGGUAACGGCUUACCAAGGCAACGAUGCAUAGCUGACCUGAGAGGAUGAUCAGCCACACUGGAACUGAGACACGGUCCAGACUCCUACGGGAGGCAGCAGUAGGGAAUCUUGCGCAAUGGGCGAAAGCCUGACGGAGCAACGCCGCGUGAGUGAUGAAGGUCUUCGGAUCGUAAAGCUCUGUUAUUAGGGAAGAAGAUAAGUGUAAGUAACUGUGCACGUCUUGACGGUACCUAAAGAGAAAGCAACGGCUAACUACGUG
This 497-nucleotide ribosomal RNA is filed under the name uncultured bacterium. RNAcentral's name for it is "partial 16S ribosomal RNA". It matches the Rfam family "Bacterial small subunit ribosomal RNA", at positions 28 to 507 of the family's 1533-position model. The record is from RNAcentral.